CCUACGGGUGGCAGCAGUGAGGAAUAUUGGUCAAUGGGCGCGAGCCUGAACCAGCCAAGUAGCGUGAAGGAUGACUGCCCUACGGGUUGUAAACUUCUUUUAUAAAGGAAUAAAGUGAGGCACGUGUGCCUUUUUGUAUGUACUUUAUGAAUAAGGAUCGGCUAACUCCGUGCCAGCAGCCGCGGUAAUACGGAGGAUCCGAGCGUUAUCCGGAUUUAUUGGGUGUAAAGGGAGCGUAGAUGGGUUGUUAAGUCAGUUGUGAAGGUUUGCGGCUAAACCGUAAAAUUGCAAUUGAUACUGGCAGUUGUGAGUACAGUUGAGGUAGGCGGAAUUCGUGGUGGAGCGGUGAAAGGCUGAGAGAUCAGGAAGAACUCCGUGUGAGAAGGAAGCUUAAUAAACUGCCACUGACAUUGAUGCGCGAAAGUGUGGGUAUAAAACAGGAUUAGAUACCCGAGUAGUC
This 460-nucleotide ribosomal RNA is filed under the name uncultured bacterium. Its description in RNAcentral is "partial 16S ribosomal RNA". It matches the Rfam family "Bacterial small subunit ribosomal RNA", at positions 338 to 795 of the family's 1533-position model. The record is from RNAcentral.